CUGGGAACACCACGUGAUGUUGGCUU
Molecule: non-coding RNA, 26 nt
Filed under: Bombyx mori (domestic silkworm)
Lineage: Eukaryota; Metazoa; Arthropoda; Insecta; Lepidoptera; Bombycidae
Source: RNAcentral